AUGCUCGUUACGCGCAGCAGGACGGAAAGACCCCGGGACCUUUACUAUAGUUUGGUAUUGGUGAUUGGGACGGUUUGUGUAGGAUAGGUGGGAGACGUUGAUGCGGCCACGCUAGUGGUGGUGGAGUCGUUGGUGAAAUACCACUCUGAUUGUUCUGGUUAUCUCACUGUGGACCGUGAUCCGGUUCAAGGACAGUGCCUGAUGGGUAGUUUGACUGGGGCGGUCGCCUCCCAAAGAGUAACGGAGGCGUUCAAAGGUUCCCUCAGAAUGGUU
This 273-nucleotide ribosomal RNA is filed under the name Anophryoides haemophila. RNAcentral's name for it is "partial Bacterial large subunit ribosomal RNA". It matches the Rfam family "Bacterial large subunit ribosomal RNA", at positions 2059 to 2332 of the family's 2925-position model. Lineage: Eukaryota; Ciliophora; Oligohymenophorea; Philasterida; Glauconematidae. The record is from RNAcentral.